RNAcentral lists this ribosomal RNA (252 nucleotides) under uncultured bacterium. RNAcentral describes it as "partial 16S ribosomal RNA". It matches the Rfam family "Bacterial small subunit ribosomal RNA", at positions 524 to 776 of the family's 1533-position model. The record is from RNAcentral.
UACGUAGGGGGCAAGCGUUGUCCGGAAUUAUUGGGCGUAAAGCGCGCGCAGGCGGUCAUGUAAGUCUGGUGUUUAAACCCAAGGCUCAACCUUGGGUCGCAUUGGAAACUGCAUGGCUUGAGUACAGAAGAGGAGAGUGGAAUUCCACGUGUAGCGGUGAAAUGCGUAGAUAUGUGGAGGAACACCAAUGGCGAAGGCAGCUCGCUGGGACGUGACUGACGCUGAGACGCGAAAGCGUGGGGAGCAAACAGG